This 405-nucleotide ribosomal RNA is filed under the name uncultured bacterium. Its description in RNAcentral is "partial 16S ribosomal RNA". It matches the Rfam family "Bacterial small subunit ribosomal RNA", at positions 28 to 526 of the family's 1533-position model. The record is from RNAcentral.
GAUGAACGCUGGCGGCGUGCCUAAUACAUGCAAGUCGAGCGAAGCGGGGACGGGGGAGUAACACGUGGAAAAACUCCUAUAAGAAUGGGAUAAAGGCGGGAAACAGGAGCUAAACGGGCUACUUAUCGAUGGAUCCGCGCUGCAUUAGCGAGUUGGUAAGGUAACGGCUUACCAAGGCAACGAUGCAUAGCCGACCUGCGCGGGGGAUCGGCCACACUGGCACGGAGACACGGCCCAGACUCCUACGGUGGGCAGCAGUAGUGAAUCUUCCGCAAUGGUCGAAAGCCUGACGGAGCAACGCCGCGUGAGUGAUGAAGGUCUUCGGAUCGUAAAACUCUGUUAUUAGAGAAGCGGUGCCUAAUCAGAAAGCCACGGCUAACUACGUGCCAGCAGCCGCGGUAAUUC